Molecule: small RNA, 107 nt
Filed under: Marmota monax (woodchuck)
Lineage: Eukaryota; Metazoa; Chordata; Mammalia; Rodentia; Sciuridae
Source: RNAcentral
ACUGGGUAUGGUGGUACACACCUGUAUUCCCAGCAACUUGGGAGGCUGAGGCAGGAGGAUCACAAGUUUAGGACCUGCCUCAGCAACUUAGUGAAAUCCUGUCUCAA